GACGAACGCUGGCGGCGUGCCUAAUACAUGCAAGUAGAACGCUGAAGGAGGAGCUUGCUCUUCUGGAUGAGUUGCGAACGGGUGAGUAACGCGUAGGUAACCUGCCUGGUAGCGGGGGAUAACUAUUGGAAACGAUAGCUAAUACCGCAUAAUAGUAGAUGUUGCAUGAUAUUUACUUAAAAGGUGCAAUUGCACCACUACCAGAUGGACCUGCGUUGUAUUAGCUAGUUGGUGGGGUAACGGCUCACCAAGGCGACGAUACAUAGCCGACCUGAGAGGGUGAUCGGCCACACUGGGACUGAGACACGGCCCAGACUCCUACGGGAGGCAGCAGUAGGGAAUCUUCGGCAAGGGACGAAAGUCUGACCGAGCAACGCCGCGUGAGUGAAGAAGGUUUUCGGAUCGUAAAGCUCGGUUGUAAGAGAAGAACGAGUGUGAGAGUGGAAAGUUCACACUGUGACGGUAUCUUACCAGAAAGGGACGGCUAACUACGUG
RNAcentral lists this ribosomal RNA (495 nucleotides) under uncultured bacterium. Its description in RNAcentral is "partial 16S ribosomal RNA". It matches the Rfam family "Bacterial small subunit ribosomal RNA", at positions 28 to 507 of the family's 1533-position model. The record is from RNAcentral.